This 326-nucleotide ribosomal RNA is filed under the name uncultured eukaryote. Its description in RNAcentral is "partial 18S ribosomal RNA". It matches the Rfam family "Eukaryotic small subunit ribosomal RNA", at positions 1470 to 1796 of the family's 1831-position model. The record is from RNAcentral.
CCCUUAGAUGUUCUGGGCCGCACGCGCGCUACACUGAUGCAUUCAACAAGCCUAGCCUUGAACGAGAGGUCCGGGUAAUCUUUGAAACUGCAUCGUGAUGGGGCUAGAUUAUUGCAAUUAUUAAUCUUCAACGAGGAAUGCCUAGUAAGCGUGAUUCAUCAAAUCGCGUUGAUUACGUCCCUGCCCUUUGUACACACCGCCCGUCGCUCCUACCGAUUGAAUGUGUUGGUGAGGAGCUCGGAUUGGCAGCAGUUGGUGGUUCGCCACCGGCUAUUGCUGAGAAGUCCUCCAAACCGCCCCAUUUAGAGGAAGGAGAAGUCGUAACA